UCUGUCCCAGGUGUGACACUGCCGUCGGUGU
This 31-nucleotide non-coding RNA is filed under the name Mus musculus (house mouse). The record is from RNAcentral. Lineage: Eukaryota; Metazoa; Chordata; Mammalia; Rodentia; Muridae.